This 215-nucleotide long non-coding RNA is filed under the name Elaeis guineensis (African oil palm). RNAcentral's name for it is "long non-coding RNA (EGUI_LNC063537)". The record is from RNAcentral. Lineage: Eukaryota; Viridiplantae; Streptophyta; Magnoliopsida; Arecales; Arecaceae.
UCUCAGACGGACUUCUCUGGCAAUCGGACUCCUAUCGGACUUCAUCAACAGAAAGUCUCCAUCCGAGCUUCUAUAGUAGAUGACUCCCAUCUGUAGCAUCAGCGCCCGAGGCAUCCGACAAUAGUAGACUCGUCAGCAACCUCGAAAACAUCUGAGCUUCUUCUAGAUCGAUGGGAUAGAGACCCAUUCCGCUCCAUCAGACAUCCCAGCCGAGC